AGAAUCAACGCUGGCGGCGUGCCUAACACAUGCAAGUCGAACGAGGAAGUGGAGCAAUCCAUGAGUAAAGUGGCGUACGGGUGAGUAACACGUGACUAACCUACCCUCGAGUGGGGGAAUAACCUCGGGAAACCGGGGCUAAUACCGCAUAACAUCUACUGAUCAAAUGCGUAAGCAGCUUGAGGAGGGGGUCGCGGCCGAUUAGCUAGUUGGCGGGGUAAUGGCCCACCAAGGCAAUGAUCGGUAGCCGGCCUGAGAGGGCGCACGGCCACACUGGAACUGAAACACGGUCCAGACUCCUACGGGAGGCAGCAGUGGGGAAUUUUGCGCAAUGGGGGAAACCCUGACGCAGCAACGCCGCGUGGAGGAUGAAGCCCCUUGGGGUGUAAACUCCUUCGAUCGGGACGAUUAUGACGGUACCGGAUGAAGAAGCACCGGCUAACUCUGCGCCAGCAGCCGC
RNAcentral lists this ribosomal RNA (460 nucleotides) under uncultured bacterium. Its description in RNAcentral is "SSU rRNA". It matches the Rfam family "Bacterial small subunit ribosomal RNA", at positions 26 to 518 of the family's 1533-position model. The record is from RNAcentral.